CCGGACCCGACUGCUAUUUGGGUGAGGAUAAGCCAUGCGAGUCGAAUGGGAAACCUAAACUUCCCAUGGUAAACUGCUCAGUAACACAUGAUCAACUUACCCUAUGGAGAAAAAUAACCUCGGGAAACUGAGGAUAAUAUUUCAUAGUUGAAAAGGCUUGGAAAAGUUUUUCAACAAAAGGAAAAAGGAAAAUGGUUCUUUUUUGCCCUAGGAUAGGAUCGUGGUCGAUUAUGGUAGUUGGUGAGAUAAUGGCUCACCAAGCCGAUAAUCGAUAGGGGCCGUGAGAGCGGGUGCCCCGAGAUGGGUACUGAGACAACGACCCAGGCCUUACGAGGCGCAGCAGGCGCGAGACCUCCGCAAUACACGAAAGUGUGACGGGGUUACCCAAAGUGUCCUUAUUUGGACUGUGGCGGGUGAGUAAUGUUCCCCGCUAGAAAGGAGAAGGCAAGGCUGGUGCCAGCCGCCGCGGUAAAACCAGCUCUUCAAGUGGUCGGGAUAAUUAUUGGGCUUAAAGUGUCCGUAGCCGGUUUAGUAAGUUCCUGGUAAAAUCGGGUAGCUUAACUAUUCGUAUGCUAGGAAUACUGCUAUACUAGAGGGCGGGAGAGGUCUGAGGUACUACAGGGGUAGGGGUGAAAUCUUAUAAUCCUUGUAGGACCACCAGUGGCGAAGGCGUCAGACUGGAACGUGCCUGACGGUGAGGGACGAAAGCCAGGGGAGCGAACCGGAUUAGAUACCCGGGUAGUCCUGGCCGUAAACGAUGCAUACUAGGUGAUGGUACGGCUAUGAGCCGUAUCAGUGCCGUAGGGAAACCGUUAAGUGUGCCGCCUGGGAAGUACGGUCGCAAGGCUAAAACUUAAAGGAAUUGGCGGGGGAGCACCACAAGGGGUGAAGCCUGCGGUU
Molecule: ribosomal RNA, 900 nt
Filed under: uncultured archaeon
Lineage: Archaea
Description: bacterial SSU rRNA
Rfam family: Archaeal small subunit ribosomal RNA
Source: RNAcentral